UACGUAGGUGGCAAGCGUUGUCCGGAAUUAUUGGGCGUAAAGCGCGCGCAGGCGGUUUCUUAAGUCUGAUGUGAAAGCCCCCGGCUCAACCGGGGAGGGUCAUUGGAAACUGGGGAACUUGAGUGCAGAAGAGAAGAGUGGAAUUCCACGUGUAGCGGUGAAAUGCGUAGAGAUGUGGAGGAACACCAGUGGCGAAGGCGACUCUUUGGUCUGUAACUGACGCUGAGGCGCGAAAGCGUGGGGAGCAAACAGG
Molecule: ribosomal RNA, 253 nt
Filed under: uncultured bacterium
Lineage: Bacteria
Description: partial 16S ribosomal RNA
Rfam family: Bacterial small subunit ribosomal RNA
Source: RNAcentral